This 451-nucleotide ribosomal RNA is filed under the name uncultured bacterium. RNAcentral describes it as "bacterial SSU rRNA". It matches the Rfam family "Bacterial small subunit ribosomal RNA", at positions 29 to 524 of the family's 1533-position model. The record is from RNAcentral.
AGCGAACGCUGGCGGCAGGCCUAACACAUGCAAGUCGAACGAACUCUUCGGAGUUAGUGGCGGACGGGUGAGUAACACGUGGGAACGUGCCUUUAGGUUCGGAAUAACUCAGGGAAACUUGUGCUAAUACCGAAUGUGCCCUUCGGGGGAAAGAUUUAUCGCCUUUAGAGCGGCCCGCGUCUGAUUAGCUAGUUGGUGAGGUAAAGGCUCACCAAGGCGACGAUCAGUAGCUGGUCUGAGAGGAUGAUCAGCCACAUUGGGACUGAGACACGGCCCAAACUCCUACGGGAGGCAGCAGUGGGGAAUCUUGCGCAAUGGGCGAAAGCCUGACGCAGCCAUGCCGCGUGAAUGAUGAAGGUCUUAGGAUUGUAAAAUUCUUUCACCGGGGUACGAUAAUGACGGUACCCGGAGAAGAAGCCCCGGCUAACUUCGUGCCAGCAGCCGCGGUAAU